AAAACUUUCAACAACGGAUCUCUUGGUUCUGGCAUCGAUGAAGAACGCAGCGAAAUGCGAUAAGUAAUGUGAAUUGCAGAAUUCAGUGAAUCAUCGAAUCUUUGAACGCACAUUGCGCCCCUCGGUAUUCCGGGGGGCAUGCCUGUUCGAGCGUCAUUACAACACUCAA
Molecule: ribosomal RNA, 169 nt
Filed under: Biatora sp. 'pseudohelvola'
Lineage: Eukaryota; Fungi; Ascomycota; Lecanoromycetes; Lecanorales; Ramalinaceae
Description: Biatora pseudohelvola 5.8S ribosomal RNA
Rfam family: 5.8S ribosomal RNA
About the family: 5.8S ribosomal RNA (5.8S rRNA) is a component of the large subunit of the eukaryotic ribosome. It is transcribed by RNA polymerase I as part of the 45S precursor that also contains 18S and 28S rRNA.
Source: RNAcentral